GACGAACGCUGGCGGCGUGCCUAAUACAUGCAAGUCGAACGAACUCUGGUAUUGAUUGGUGCUUGCACCAUGAUUUACAUUUGAGUGAGUGGCGAACUGGUGAGUAACACGUGGGAAACCUGCCCAGAAGCGGGGGAUAACACCUGGAAACAGAUGCUAAUACCGCAUAACAACUUGGACCGCAUGGUCCGAGUUUGAAAGAUGGCUUCGGCUACCACUUUUGGAUGGUCCCGCGGCGUAUUAGCUAGAUGGUGGGGUAACGGCUCACCAUGGCAAUGAUACGUAGCCGACCUGAGAGGGUAAUCGGCCACAUUGGGACUGAGACACGGCCCAAACUCCUACGGGAGGCAGCAGUAGGGAAUCUUCCACAAUGGACGAAAGUCUGAUGGAGCAACGCCGCGUGAGUGAAGAAGGGUUUCGGCUCGUAAAACUCUGUUGUUAAAGAAGAACAUAUCUGAGAGUAACUGUUCAGGUAUUGACGGUAUUUAACCAGAAAGCCACGGCUAACUACGUGCCAGCAGCCGCGGUAAUACGUAGGUGGCAAGCGUUGUCCGGAUUUAUUGGGCGUAAAGCGAGCGCAGGCGGUUUUUUAAGUCUGAUGUGAAAGCCUUCGGCUCAACCGAAGAAGUGCAUCGGAAACUGGGAAACUUGAGUGCAGAAGAGGACAGUGGAACUCCAUGUGUAGCGGUGAAAUGCGUAGAUAUAUGGAAGAACACCAGUGGCGAAGGCGGCUGUCUGGUCUGUAACUGACGCUGAGGCUCGAAAGUAUGGGUAGCAAACAGGAUUAGAUACCCUGGUAGUCCAUACCGUAAACGAUGAAUGCUAAGUGUUGGAGGGUUUCCGCCCUUCAGUGCUGCAGCUAACGCAUUAAGCAUUCCGCCUGGGGAGUACGGCCGCAAGGCUGAAACUCAAAGGAAUUGACGGGGGCCCGCACAAGCGGUGGAACAUGUGGUUUAAUUCGAAGCUACGCGAAGAACCUUACCAGGUCUUGACAUACUAUGCAAAUCUAAGAGAUUAGACGUUCCCUUCGGGGACAUGGAUACAGGUGGUGCAUGGUUGUCGUCAGCUCGUGUCGUGAGAUGUUGGGUUAAGUCCCGCAACGAGCGCAACCCUUAUUAUCAGUUGCCAGCAUUAAGUUGGGCACUCUGGUGAGACUGCCGGUGACAAACCGGAGGAAGGUGGGGAUGACGUCAAAUCACCAUGCCCCUUAUGACCUGGGCUACACACGUGCUACAAUGGAUGGUACAACGAGUUGCGAACUCGCGAGAGUAAGCUAAUCUCUUAAAGCCAUUCUCAGUUCGGAUUGUAGGCUGCAACUCGCCUACAUGAAGUCGGAAUCGCUAGUAAUCGCGGAUCAGCAUGCCGCGGUGAAUACGUUCCCGGGCCUUGUACACACCGCCCGUCACACCAUGAGAGUUUGUAACACCCAAAGUCGGUGGGGUAACCUUUUAGGAACCAGCCGCCUAAGGUGGGACAGAUGAUUAGGGUG
RNAcentral lists this ribosomal RNA (1489 nucleotides) under Lactiplantibacillus plantarum. RNAcentral describes it as "bacterial SSU rRNA". It matches the Rfam family "Bacterial small subunit ribosomal RNA". The record is from RNAcentral. Lineage: Bacteria; Bacillati; Bacillota; Bacilli; Lactobacillales; Lactobacillaceae.